GACGAACGCUGGCGGCGUGCUUAACACAUGCAAGUCGAACGGAAAGGCCCUGCUUUUGUGGGGUGCUCGAGUGGCGAACGGGUGAGUAACACGUGAGUAACCUGCCCUUGACUUUGGGAUAACUUCAGGAAACUGGGGCUAAUACCGGAUAGGAGCUCCUGCUGCAUGGUGGGGGUUGGAAAGUUUCGGCGGUUGGGGAUGGACUCGCGGCUUAUCAGCUUGUUGGUGGGGUAGUGGCUUACCAAGGCUUUGACGGGUAGCCGGCCUGAGAGGGUGACCGGCCAAAUUGGGACUGAGAAACGGCCCAGACUCCUACGGGAGGGAGCAGGGGGGAAUAUUGCACAAUGGGAGGAAGCCUGAUGCAGCAACGCCGCGUGCGGGAUGACGGCCUUCGGGUUGUAAACCGCUUUCGCCUGUGACGAAGCGUGAGUGACGGUAAUGGGUAAAGAAGCACCGGCUAACUACGUG
RNAcentral lists this ribosomal RNA (468 nucleotides) under uncultured bacterium. RNAcentral's name for it is "partial 16S ribosomal RNA". It matches the Rfam family "Bacterial small subunit ribosomal RNA", at positions 28 to 507 of the family's 1533-position model. The record is from RNAcentral.